UGAACGCUGGCGGCAGGCCUAACACAUGCAAGUCGAGCGGAAACGAUCCUAGCUUGCUAGGAGGCGUCGAGCGGCGGACGGGUGAGUAAUGCAUAGGAAUCUGCCCGGUAGUGGGGGAUAACUUGAGGAAACUCAAGCUAAUACCGCAUACGCCCUACGGGGGAAAGCAGGGGCUCUUCGGACCUUGCGCUAUCGGAUGAGCUUAUGUCGGAUUAGCUGGUUGGUGAGGUAACGGCUCACCAAGGCGACGAUCCGUAGCUGGUCUGAGAGGAUGAUCAGCCACAUCGGGACUGAGACACGGCCCGAACUCCUACGGGAGGCAGCAGUGGGGAAUAUUGGACAAUGGGGGCAACCCUGAUCCAGCCAUGCCGCGUGUGUGAAGAAGGCCCUCGGGUUGUAAAGCACUUUCAGCGAGGAAGAAUGCUUGUCGGUUAAUACCCGGCAAGGGAGACAUCACUCGCAGAAGAAGCACCGGCUAACUCCGUGCCAGCAGCCGCGGUAAUACGGAGGGUGCGAGCGUUAAUCGGAAUUACUGGGCGUAAAGCGUGCGUAGGCGGCUUGAUAAGCCGGUUGUGAAAGCCCCGGGCUCAACCUGGGAACGGCAUCCGGAACUGUUAGGCUAGAGUGCAGGAGAGGAAGGUAGAAUUCCCGGUGUAGCGGUGAAAUGCGUAGAGAUCGGGAGGAAUACCAGUGGCGAAGGCGGCCUUCUGGACUGACACUGACGCUGAGGUACCAAAGCGUGGGUAGCAAACAGGAUUANAUACCCUGGUAGUCCACGCCGUAAACNAUGUCGACUANCCGUNGGGGUCCUCGA
This 814-nucleotide ribosomal RNA is filed under the name Halomonas sp. F1.2. RNAcentral's name for it is "bacterial SSU rRNA". It matches the Rfam family "Bacterial small subunit ribosomal RNA", at positions 30 to 835 of the family's 1533-position model. Lineage: Bacteria; Pseudomonadati; Pseudomonadota; Gammaproteobacteria; Oceanospirillales; Halomonadaceae. The record is from RNAcentral.